Molecule: ribosomal RNA, 527 nt
Filed under: uncultured bacterium
Lineage: Bacteria
Description: bacterial SSU rRNA
Rfam family: Bacterial small subunit ribosomal RNA
Source: RNAcentral
GUUAGCCCCGCCUCGGGGAGUACGGCCGCAAGGCUAAAACUCAAAGAAAUUGACGGGGCCCGCACAAGCGGCGGAGCAUGCGGAUUAAUUCGAUGCAACGCGAAGAACCUUACCAAGGCUUGACAUAUACUGGACCGCAUCAGAGAUGGUGUUUCCCUUCGGGGCUGGUAUACAGGUGGUGCACGGUUGUCGUCAGCUCGUGUCGUGAGAUGUUGGGUUAAGUCCCGCAACGAGCGCAACCCCUAUCUUAUGUUGCCAGCACUUCGGGUGGGAACUCAUGAGAGACUGCCGCAGACAAUGCGGAGGAAGGCGGGGAUGACGUCAAAUCAUCAUGCCCCUUAUGACCUGGGCUACACACGUACUACAAUGGGAGUUAAUAGACGGAAGCAAUACCGCGAGGUGGAGCAAACCCGAGAAACACUCUCUCAGUUCGGAUCGUAGGCUGCAACUCGCCUACGUGAAGUCGGAAUCGCUAGUAAUCGCAGGUCAGCAUACUGCGGUGAAUACGUUCCCGGUCGACGCGGCCG